GGAGCCGGGGGUCAGGGUAUUUAAUUUAAUGUUUUUAUUGAGCAGUUUAGUAAUUGAAUAUUCAUGGUUAAACAGGCAUCAGAGGCCAAACUGAACCACAGGAGGGACCUUCAAGAGGUCCAGCUAGCUCGGACCAGCAGCAGUCGAGUGUGCAGGAAUCCACCACCAGGCCUUCUCCUAGCUCCCACGCUACUUCCAAGCUGUAGGAUUUCUUGUAACCUACUUAAAUUCUUGUAAACAAUUAGUAACUGCUCUGAUAUCUGGUUGGAUUAGAUAACCAGAACUGGUGAAUA
Prunus persica (peach) is the source of this 293-nucleotide long non-coding RNA. RefSeq lists it as uncharacterized. The record is from RefSeq and is a predicted model, not a curated record. The transcript has 2 exons. NCBI's taxonomy places the organism in Eukaryota, Viridiplantae, Streptophyta, Magnoliopsida, Rosales, Rosaceae.